UGCGCAGGCGGUUAUGUAAGACAGAUGUGAAAUCCCCGGGCUCAACCUGGGAACUGCAUUUGUGACUGCAUGGCUAGAGUACGGUAGAGGGGGAUGGAAUUCCGCGUGUAGCAGUGAAAUGCGUAGAUAUGCGGAGGAACACCGAUGGCGAAGGCAGAUCUCUGGGCCGUAACUGACGCUGAGGUGCGAAAGCGGUGGGGAGCAAACA
This 208-nucleotide ribosomal RNA is filed under the name uncultured bacterium. RNAcentral's name for it is "partial 16S ribosomal RNA". It matches the Rfam family "Bacterial small subunit ribosomal RNA", at positions 568 to 774 of the family's 1533-position model. The record is from RNAcentral.